UACCGAGGGUGCAAGCGUUAAUCGGAAUUACUGGGCGUAAAGCGUGCGUAGACGGUUAUUUAAGUCGGGUGUGAAAGCCCCGGGCUCAACCUGGGAAUUGCAUUCGAGACUGAAUAGCUAGGGUGCGGAAGAGGGAAGCGGAAUUUCCGGUGUAGCGGUGAAAUGCGUAGAUAUCGGAAGGAACACCAGUGGCGAAAGCGGCUUCCUGGUCCAGCACCGACGUUCAGGCACGAAAGCGUGGGGAGCAAACAGG
RNAcentral lists this ribosomal RNA (253 nucleotides) under uncultured bacterium. RNAcentral's name for it is "partial 16S ribosomal RNA". It matches the Rfam family "Bacterial small subunit ribosomal RNA", at positions 524 to 776 of the family's 1533-position model. The record is from RNAcentral.